RNAcentral lists this ribosomal RNA (48 nucleotides) under Nephroma bellum. Its description in RNAcentral is "partial large subunit ribosomal RNA". The record is from RNAcentral. Lineage: Eukaryota; Fungi; Ascomycota; Lecanoromycetes; Peltigerales; Nephromataceae.
AUUGACCUCGGAUCAGGUAGGGAUACCCGCCUGAACUUAAGCAUAUCA